AGUGAACGCUGGCGGUAGGCCUAACACAUGCAAGUCGAACGGCAGCACAGUAAGAGCUUGCUCUUACGGGUGGCGAGUGGCGGACGGGUGAGGAAUACAUCGGAAUCUACUUUUUCGUGGGGGAUAACGUAGGGAAACUUAUGCUAAUACCGCAUACGACCUACGGGUGAAAGCAGGGGAUCUUCGGACCUUGCGCGAUUGAAUGAGCCGAUGUCGGAUUAGCUAGUUGGCGGGGUAAAGGCCCACCAAGGCGACGAUCCGUAGCUGGUCUGAGAGGAUGAUCAGCCACACUGGAACUGAGACACGGUCCAGACUCCUACGGGAGGCAGCAGUGGGGAAUAUUGGACAAUGGGCGCAAGCCUGAUCCAGCCAUACCGCGUGGGUGAAGGAGGCCUUCGGGUUGUAAAGCCCUUUUGUUGGGAAAGAAAAGCAGCAGGUUAAUACCCCGCUGUUCUGACGGUACCCAAAGAAUAAGCACCGGCUAACUUCGUG
Molecule: ribosomal RNA, 492 nt
Filed under: uncultured bacterium
Lineage: Bacteria
Description: partial 16S ribosomal RNA
Rfam family: Bacterial small subunit ribosomal RNA
Source: RNAcentral